CCAAUAGCGUAUAUUAAAGUUGUUGCAGUUAAAAAGCUCGUAGUUGAAUUUCGGGAUUGGCACAUCGGUCGUGCCUUAAGGGGUAUGAACUGGUGUAGCCAAUUUCUCACCUUCUGGAGAACCGCGAUGUCCUUAAUUGGGUGCCGCGAGGAACCAGGACCUUUACUUUGAAAAAAUUAGAGUGUUUAAAGCAGGCAUUUUGCUUGAAUACAUUAGCAUGGAAUAAUAAAAUAGGACGGAUGAUUCUAUUUUGUUGGUUUCUAGGACCACCGUAAUGAUUAAUAGGGAUAGUUGGGGGCAUUAGUAUUCAAUUGUCAGAGGUGAAAUUCUUGGAUUGAUUGAAGACUAACUACUGCGAAAGCAUUUGCCAAGGAUGUUUUCAUUAAUCAAGAACGAAAGUUAGGGGAUCGAAGACGAUCAGAUACCGUCGUAGUCUUAACCAUAAACUAUGCCGACUAGGAAUCAGACGAUGUUAAUUUUUUAAUGACUCGUUUGGCACCUUACG
Molecule: unclassified non-coding RNA, 505 nt
Filed under: uncultured Glomeromycotina
Lineage: Eukaryota; Fungi; Glomeromycota
Description: SSU rRNA
Rfam family: Eukaryotic small subunit ribosomal RNA
Source: RNAcentral